Molecule: unclassified non-coding RNA, 412 nt
Filed under: uncultured Sebacinaceae
Lineage: Eukaryota; Fungi; Basidiomycota; Agaricomycetes; Sebacinales; Sebacinaceae
Description: sequence contains ITS2
Rfam family: 5.8S ribosomal RNA (bases 1-154)
Source: RNAcentral
AACUUUCGGCAACGGAUCACUUGGCUCUCGCAUCGAUGAAGAACGCAGCGAAAUGCGAUAAGUAAUGUGAAUUGCAGAAUACAGUGAAUCAUCGAAUCUUUGAACGCACCUUGCACCCAUUGGAAUUCCAAAGGGUAUGCUCGUUUGAGUGUCAUUGUACUCUCACACUCCAAUUUUGGAGAAGUGGACUUGGGUGUUGCUGCUUUGCAGUGGCUCAUCUUAAAUAUGCUAGUGCAACUCAUAGUUGGAUAUAGUACAGCGUGAUAAGUAUCUUCGCUGGCACCUCAUGAAGAGGGUAUCUGAUUGGGAGCUCUGUGCUUCUAACAGUCCUGUCUGGGACAAUCUCUGACAACUUGGCCUCAAAUCGAGUAGGACUACCCGCUGAACUUAAGCAUAUCAAUAAGCGGAGGCU